UACGAAGGGGGCGAGCGUUAUUCGGAAUCACUGGGCGUAAAGCGUGCGUAGGCUGUUUGGCAAGUUGGAAGUGAAAGCCCAGGGCUCAACCCUGGAAUUGCUUUCAAAACUGCCAGACUCGAGUCCGGGAGAGGAUAGCGGAAUUUCCAGUGUAGUAGUGAAAUACGUAGAUAUUGGAAGGAACACCAGUGGCGCAAGCGACUAUCUGGACCGGUACUGACGCUGAGGCACGAAAGUGUGGGGAUCAAACAGG
RNAcentral lists this ribosomal RNA (253 nucleotides) under uncultured bacterium. RNAcentral's name for it is "partial 16S ribosomal RNA". It matches the Rfam family "Bacterial small subunit ribosomal RNA", at positions 524 to 776 of the family's 1533-position model. The record is from RNAcentral.